This 330-nucleotide ribosomal RNA is filed under the name Triticum aestivum (bread wheat). RNAcentral describes it as "partial small subunit ribosomal RNA". Lineage: Eukaryota; Viridiplantae; Streptophyta; Magnoliopsida; Poales; Poaceae. The record is from RNAcentral.
AUGUGCAUUGCUGUUCUUAUCUCUGUACUUUCUAGUUGUGCUAAUUUUAGGACAUGUUCGGUGAAUUUAGAUGUUGGGAAGUGGAUCCUGAAUGCACUUUGUGUUUGCUAUAUUCAGAUUUGUACACACAGUUUUUACUGUAAAAAAAUCUGUAGUUACGUAUGGUUUGAAUCACUACACCUGAAUCUGCAGAUUUGCACAUACAAAUCUUCAGAGAUUGGGGCAUAUCAAAUCUUGAUAUAUCCACUGUAUCUUCUUGCUGAAUCGAGUGCUCUCUUAUAUAGGUCUAUGAAUUUCCUGAACUGGUGCAUGUAUAUAUUUGGGUGCUAG